Molecule: ribosomal RNA, 2838 nt
Filed under: Escherichia coli
Lineage: Bacteria; Pseudomonadati; Pseudomonadota; Gammaproteobacteria; Enterobacterales; Enterobacteriaceae
Description: partial 23S ribosomal RNA
Rfam family: Bacterial large subunit ribosomal RNA
Source: RNAcentral
GGUUAAGCGACUAAGCGUACACGGUGGAUGCCCUGGCAGUCAGAGGCGAUGAAGGACGUGCUAAUCUGCGAUAAGCGUCGGUAAGGUGAUAUGAACCGUUAUAACCGGCGAUUUCCGAAUGGGGAAACCCAGUGUGAUUCGUCACACUAUCAUUAACUGAAUCCAUAGGUUAAUGAGGCGAACCGGGGGAACUGAAACAUCUAAGUACCCCGAGGAAAAGAAAUCAACCGAGAUUCCCCCAGUAGCGGCGAGCGAACGGGGAGCAGCCCAGAGCCUGAAUCAGUGUGUGUGUUAGUGGAAGCGUCUGGAAAGGCGCGCGAUACAGGGUGACAGCCCCGUACACAAAAAUGCACAUACUGUGAGCUCGAUGAGUAGGGCGGGACACGUGGUAUCCUGUCUGAAUAUGGGGGGACCAUCCUCCAAGGCUAAAUACUCCUGACUGACCGAUAGUGAACCAGUACCGUGAGGGAAAGGCGAAAAGAACCCCGGCGAGGGGAGUGAAAAAGAACCUGAAACCGUGUACGUACAAGCAGUGGGAGCCUCUUUAUGGGGUGACUGCGUACCUUUUGUAUAAUGGGUCAGCGACUUAUAUUCUGUAGCAAGGUUAACCGAAUAGGGGAGCCGAAGGGAAACCGAGUCUUAACUGGGCGUUAAGUUGCAGGGUAUAGACCCGAAACCCGGUGAUCUAGCCAUGGGCAGGUUGAAGGUUGGGUAACACUAACUGGAGGACCGAACCGACUAAUGUUGAAAAAUUAGCGGAUGACUUGUGGCUGGGGGUGAAAGGCCAAUCAAACCGGGAGAUAGCUGGUUCUCCCCGAAAGCUAUUUAGGUAGCGCCUCGUGAAUUCAUCUCCGGGGGUAGAGCACUGUUUCGGCAAGGGGGUCAUCCCGACUUACCAACCCGAUGCAAACUGCGAAUACCGGAGAAUGUUAUCACGGGAGACACACGGCGGGUGCUAACGUCCGUCGUGAAGAGGGAAACAACCCAGACCGCCAGCUAAGGUCCCAAAGUCAUGGUUAAGUGGGAAACGAUGUGGGAAGGCCCAGACAGCCAGGAUGUUGGCUUAGAAGCAGCCAUCAUUUAAAGAAAGCGUAAUAGCUCACUGGUCGAGUCGGCCUGCGCGGAAGAUGUAACGGGGCUAAACCAUGCACCGAAGCUGCGGCAGCGACGCUUAUGCGUUGUUGGGUAGGGGAGCGUUCUGUAAGCCUGUGAAGGUGUGCUGUGAGGCAUGCUGGAGGUAUCAGAAGUGCGAAUGCUGACAUAAGUAACGAUAAAGCGGGUGAAAAGCCCGCUCGCCGGAAGACCAAGGGUUCCUGUCCAACGUUAAUCGGGGCAGGGUGAGUCGACCCCUAAGGCGAGGCCGAAAGGCGUAGUCGAUGGGAAACAGGUUAAUAUUCCUGUACUUGGUGUUACUGCGAAGGGGGGACGGAGAAGGCUAUGUUGGCCGGGCGACGGUUGUCCCGGUUUAAGCGUGUAGGCUGGUUUUCCAGGCAAAUCCGGAAAAUCAAGGCUGAGGCGUGAUGACGAGGCACUACGGUGCUGAAGCAACAAAUGCCCUGCUUCCAGGAAAAGCCUCUAAGCAUCAGGUAACAACAAAUCGUACCCCAAACCGACACAGGUGGUCAGGUAGAGAAUACCAAGGCGCUUGAGAGAACUCGGGUGAAGGAACUAGGCAAAAUGGUGCCGUAACUUCGGGAGAAGGCACGCUGAUAUGUAGGUGAAGCGACUUGCUCGUGGAGCUGAAAUCAGUCGAAGAUACCAGCUGGCUGCAACUGUUUAUUAAAAACACAGCACUGUGCAAACACGAAAGUGGACGUAUACGGUGUGACGCCUGCCCGGUGCCGGAAGGUUAAUUGAUGGGGUUAGCGGUAACGCGAAGCUCUUGAUCGAAGCCCCGGUAAACGGCGGCCGUAACUAUAACGGUCCUAAGGUAGCGAAAUUCCUUGUCGGGUAAGUUCCGACCUGCACGAAUGGCGUAAUGAUGGCCAGGCUGUCUCCACCCGAGACUCAGUGAAAUUGAACUCGCUGUGAAGAUGCAGUGUACCCGCGGCAAGACGGAAAGACCCCGUGAACCUUUACUAUAGCUUGACACUGAACAUUGAGCCUUGAUGUGUAGGAUAGGUGGGAGGCUUUGAAGUGUGGACGCCAGUCUGCAUGGAGCCGACCUUGAAAUACCACCCUUUAAUGUUUGAUGUUCUAACGUUGGCCCGUAAUCCGGGUUGCGGACAGUGUCUGGUGGGUAGUUUGACUGGGGCGGUCUCCUCCUAAAGAGUAACGGAGGAGCACGAAGGUUGGCUAAUCCUGGUCGGACAUCAGGAGGUUAGUGCAAUGGCAUAAGCCAGCUUGACUGCGAGCGUGACGGCGCGAGCAGGUGCGAAAGCAGGUCAUAGUGAUCCGGUGGUUCUGAAUGGAAGGGCCAUCGCUCAACGGAUAAAAGGUACUCCGGGGAUAACAGGCUGAUACCGCCCAAGAGUUCAUAUCGACGGCGGUGUUUGGCACCUCGAUGUCGGCUCAUCACAUCCUGGGGCUGAAGUAGGUCCCAAGGGUAUGGCUGUUCGCCAUUUAAAGUGGUACGCGAGCUGGGUUUAGAACGUCGUGAGACAGUUCGGUCCCUAUCUGCCGUGGGCGCUGGAGAACUGAGGGGGGCUGCUCCUAGUACGAGAGGACCGGAGUGGACGCAUCACUGGUGUUCGGGUUGUCAUGCCAAUGGCACUGCCCGGUAGCUAAAUGCGGAAGAGAUAAGUGCUGAAAGCAUCUAAGCACGAAACUUGCCCCGAGAUGAGUUCUCCCUGACCCUUUAAGGGUCCUGAAGGAACGUUGAAGACGACGACGUUGAUA